GGGGAAUAUUGUACAAUGGGGGAAACCCUGAUGCAGCGACGCCGCGUGGAGGAAGAAGGUCUUCGGAUUGUAAACUCCUGUUGUUGGGGAAGAUAAUGACGGUACCCAACAAGGAAGUGACGGCUAACUACGUGCCAGCAGCCGCGGUAAAACGUAGGUCACAAGCGUUGUCCGGAAUUACUGGGUGUAAAGGGAGCGCAGGCGGGAAGACAAGUUGGAAGUGAAAUCUAUGGGCUCAACCCAUAAACUGCUUUCAAAACUGUUUUUCUUGAGUAGUGCAGAGGUAGGCGGAAUUCCCGGUGUAGCGGUGGAAUGCGUAGAUAUCGGGAGGAACACCAGUGGCGAAGGCGGCCUACUGGGCACCAACUGACGCUGAGGCUCGAAAGUGUGGGUAGCAAACAGGAUUAGAUACCCUGGUAGUCCACACCGUAAACGAUGAUUACUAGGUGUUGGAGGAUUGACCCCUUCAGUGCCGCAGUUAACACAAUAAGUAAUCCACCUGGGGAGUACGACCGCAAGGUUGAAACUCAAAGGAAUUGACGGGGGCCCGCACAAGCAGUGGAGUAUGUGGUUUAAUUCGACGCAACGCGAAGAACCUUACCAAGUCUUGACAUCCCUUGACAGGCAUAGAAAUAUGUUUUCUCUUCGGAGCAAGGAGACAGGUGGUGCAUGGUUGUCGUCAGCUCGUGUCGUGAGAUGUUGGGUUAAGUCCCGCAACGAGCGCAACCCUUAUGGUCAGUUACUACGCAAGAGGACUCUGGCCAGACUGCCGUUGACAAAACGGAGGAAGGUGGGGAUGACGUCAAAUCAUCAUGCCCUUUAUGACUUGGGCUACACACGUACUACAAUGGCGUUAAACAAAGAGAAGCGAGACCGCGAGGUGGAGCAAAACUCAGAAACAACGUCCCAGUUCGGACUGCAGGCUGCAACUCGCCUGCACGAAGUCGGAAUUGCUAGUAAUCGUGGAUCAGCAUGCCACGGUGAAUACGUUCCCG
Molecule: ribosomal RNA, 995 nt
Filed under: uncultured bacterium
Lineage: Bacteria
Description: bacterial SSU rRNA
Rfam family: Bacterial small subunit ribosomal RNA
Source: RNAcentral